AGGACAAACGCUGGCGGCGUACCUAAGACAUGCAAGUCGAACGGGGACUACCGCUUCGGCGGGAGAUUCUAGUGGCGAACGGGUGAGUAACACGUAGGAACCUAUCACCGGGUGGGGGAUACCGACGGGAAACUGUCGCUAAGACCGCAUGAGGUUCUCCUUGAGAGAUCGUGAGAAAGAAAGCAGCAAUGUGCCGGGUGAGGGGCCUGUGGCCGAUUAGCUGGUUGGUGGGGUAAAGGCCUACCAAGGCGACGAUCGGUAGCUGGU
This 267-nucleotide ribosomal RNA is filed under the name uncultured bacterium. RNAcentral describes it as "partial small subunit ribosomal RNA". It matches the Rfam family "Bacterial small subunit ribosomal RNA", at positions 26 to 291 of the family's 1533-position model. The record is from RNAcentral.